RNAcentral lists this long non-coding RNA (589 nucleotides) under Sus scrofa (pig). RNAcentral's name for it is "lncRNA (ENSSSCG00030004895.1)". The record is from RNAcentral. Lineage: Eukaryota; Metazoa; Chordata; Mammalia; Artiodactyla; Suidae.
AUGCCAGGCUGGGGGAACCUGCACCCCCAGACCGGGACUCUCCUCUGGGCCCGGGUUCCCCACGCAAAGGAAAGUUGCCGCCCCGUCCCCCGGGGGAGAUGCUGGGCUGCAGCCUGGACAGCCUUCUCGGCGGCGGCGGCGGCGGCGGCGGCAGCGGCGGGCAGGAGGGGAGCCCCGGCUGGCUGCUGGCUGGCUCCCGCGCGCCCUUUCUGCUCCUUCCUCUCUGGCUCUUCCUUCCCCGGGGUCCUCGCCUUCCCGGAGUGUUGGAGCGAGACGGAGACCUCGGCCUUUGCCGGCGGAAGCGUCGCAGCCCUCAGUCAAGGCAGACAUCACUCAAGAGCACCGAGAACAUGGUCCUUCUCAGCAGAGUGCUCUCGACAGCCAGCCAGUACUAAUCUAUCCAGGUUUGCCAUGCUGGCGAAGCUGUUGCGUGGAAAACAAAUCCUCGAGGUGCAUCUGAGAGAAUCAAGGCCCAAGAAGGUGGACUUGCCCAAGACGUGGCAGGUAAGUGCAUCUGUGAACCUACAGCCAGCUUUGGGGAGGUGUUGGGGGUGCCUUCUCAUGUUUGGAACAUACUGAAGAAGCCCCA